This 253-nucleotide ribosomal RNA is filed under the name uncultured bacterium. Its description in RNAcentral is "partial 16S ribosomal RNA". It matches the Rfam family "Bacterial small subunit ribosomal RNA", at positions 524 to 776 of the family's 1533-position model. The record is from RNAcentral.
UACGGAGGGGGCUAGCGUUGUUCGGAAUGACUGGGCGUAAAGCGCGCGUAGGCGGAUCAGCAAGUCAGGGGUGAAAUCCCGGGGCUCAACCCUGGAAUGGCCUUUGAGACUGUUGGUCUUGAGUUCGAGAGAGGUGAGUGGAAUUCCGAGUGUAGAGGUGAAAUUCGUAGAUAUUGGGAAGAACACCGGUGGCGAAGGCGGCUCACUGGUCCGAUACUGACGCUGAGGUGCGAAAGCGUGGGGAGCAAACAGG